GGCCGCGUAGUUCAACUGGAUAGAAUAUCUGACUUCGGAUCAGAGGGUUGGGGGUUCAAAUCCUCCCGCGGUCACCA
RNAcentral lists this transfer RNA (77 nucleotides) under Saprospiraceae bacterium. RNAcentral's name for it is "tRNA-Arg". It matches the Rfam family "tRNA". Rfam says of the family: Transfer RNA (tRNA) molecules are approximately 80 nucleotides in length. Their secondary structure includes four short double-helical elements and three loops (D, anti-codon, and T loops). Lineage: Bacteria; Pseudomonadati; Bacteroidota; Saprospiria; Saprospirales; Saprospiraceae. The record is from RNAcentral.